CUUCUCGGGCCAGCUGAGGACAGAUGAAGUGGACAUGUGCGUCCAGCGCCCCAGCGGUCAGGAUGAGACCCUCUCCUGCUAUGGCCUCUGUGGUCGCCCCACAUAUUAGGUUCUGUGGAGCAAAAUAUUACCACAAUAGAGCAAAUCAUCCAAACUUGUUUUUAAUUUAUGAUAUCUGAAGG
Branchiostoma floridae (Florida lancelet) is the source of this 182-nucleotide non-coding RNA. NCBI's taxonomy places the organism in Eukaryota, Metazoa, Chordata, Leptocardii, Amphioxiformes, Branchiostomatidae. The record is from Rfam.